RNAcentral lists this ribosomal RNA (376 nucleotides) under uncultured organism. RNAcentral's name for it is "partial 16S ribosomal RNA". It matches the Rfam family "Bacterial small subunit ribosomal RNA", at positions 527 to 897 of the family's 1533-position model. The record is from RNAcentral.
GUAGGUGGCAAGCGUUGUCCGGGAAUUAUUGGGGCGUAAAGCGCGCGCAGGCGGUUCUUUAAGUCUGAUGUGAAAGCCCACGGGCUCAACCGUGGAGGGUCAUUGGAAACUGGAGAACUUGAGUACAGAAGAGGAAAGCGGAAUUCCACGUGUAGCGGUGAAAUGCGUAGAGAUGUGGAGGAACACCAGUGGCGAAGGCGGCUUUCUGGUCUGUAACUGACGCUGAGGCGCGAAAGCGUGGGGAGCAAACAGGAUUAGAUACCCUGGUAGUCCACGCCGUAAACGAUGAGUGCUAAGUGUUAGGGGGUUUCCGCCCCUUGGUGCUGCAGCUAACGCAUUAAGCACUCCGCCUGGGGAGUACGGCCGCAAAGGCUGA